This 31-nucleotide non-coding RNA is filed under the name Homo sapiens (human). The record is from RNAcentral. Lineage: Eukaryota; Metazoa; Chordata; Mammalia; Primates; Hominidae.
UGGCAAAUGGCAACAGUGUCUGAUUUGAAGA